AUGAUCCCCACCCAAAUCGGAGAGAGCAUCCUCUCCCCGAGUGCCUCAGGGGCUCUGCCCCCCCUUCCCUUUUCCUGGGCAGUGACAAAUUUGCAAACCCAACCUGUGAUGGCCAGAAAUCCUCCCACCAUGGCUGGGUCCAGCCACUGGUCACCGUGCCGGGGAUGGAUCCAGCGUGGGCUCAUCCUCGCUGUGUCUGGGGGCAUCGGGGCAGAAUGUGGCUCUAAAAGCACCAGGGUCCCCCCUGGUCCUUGCUCCCCUCAUGGGAGACUUUCUUGUCCCCCCACAGCUGUCCAGGAGCAGCAGCAGCCACCACUGGCCGAGGACAACACGGUACACACCAUCUACUCCCAGGUGCAGCGGGUGGAGAAGCAGAAAGGGCUCCCCGUCACCGAGCACCCCUCCUGCACCACCAUCUACGCUGCAGCCACCGGCUUGCCCCCGGACACGGCCCCGUCCCCCCGCAGAGCCCCCCGUCAUCCUCACAGCCCCCAGACACAGCCCCCCGCCCAUCAGGGCCACUUGUCCCUCUCACAGGUAAGGCUGGCUGCCCCCCUCGACCCCCCAGGGGCAUCAGCCCAGCUGGGCAUCACUGUGGGGCAACCCAUGGACUCCCCCCUCCAACUCAAACACCUCACCAACCCCUUUGCCCCCUUCCUCUUUGCCACAGAGCCCCGACAAGGAGCCCACGACGGUUUAUGCCAGCGUGAUGAUGCCCGUGGCCUGAGCAUCUCCAGGCAGGGGGGACCCCCUCUGUUUGCUAGGCACCCACAUUGACAUUCCCAGCUGGAGAAAACCCCACUCAUCCCUGGGGAAUGGGGGCAAAACCCUCCGGCGUGGGCUGACCCCCACCCACAGCUCAACCGGGGAUGCUCCGAAGGCUGCGGAGGCUGCUCCGAAGGCAGGGAUGAGGCAAAGCAGGAAUCUCCCCGGAGUAUGGCUGAGGGCGGCUGGGAAGAUGCUGAAGGACCAGGAGAGGAUGGAGGGGCUAUGGAUACGACCCGGCAGAAGGCAUGAGCCGAGGGAUGGCAGGGAUGAGGCAAAGCAGGAAUCUCCCCGGAGUAUGGCUGAGGGCGGCUGGGAAGAUGCUGAAGGACCAGGAGAGGAUGGAGGGGCUAUGGAUACGACCCGGCAGAAGGCAUGAGCCAGGGGGGAGAGAAUUGGUCUCGGAGGGGAAGGCUCAGCACGUUGGCACCGCGUGGCAGCACAGGGAAGCGUGGCCGGAGGAGUUUUAUCCCCCCAAGCUCAUCCCUGCCCCAUUGGUUUUCACCCCACAACCUCAUCCCGUGGCCCCGGCUUCACUAGAGGGAGCCCCGGGCUCGUGACAGCCGGUGACACCGAUGGCGACCCCACAACGGGGUAAAAUCCGAAAGGGUGGGUUUUUUUAACAUCCACCUUCGCCCCAGUAAGGAAAAACCCUGGUUUUGACUGAAGCCGAGUCCUGCCGGGCUCCUUCAUUCCUCCAGCGCUGGGAAGGAAGCAGCCGUUUCCCACCGUGCUCUUCCAGCCCCCUCCUUUUGCACUGACGGCUCUGGAGACAACAAAGACCUGCUGGGGGGGUGACAAUUUCAAGCUGAAUUUCUGGCUGAUAGAGGAAAGACAGGACCUGGCUGUGGCCUGGCCACCCUCAGCCCAAAGCAGCUCUCCCCUUCCUUGGAGAAAUGGCCGGCGUGGGGAUGCUGGAGUGGCCCAGAGGAGGGAUCAAGGCUGUAAAAAUCUCUUUCUCAUUCUGCUCCCCCCCAAAUCUGAACUGGUUUAUAACCCCGAGAGAACUCACCCCCUGCGGCAGGUCUGAUCCCCUCUGCUGCUGACAAGGGAAAGGAAAAUAAAUUUAUAGGAAAGCCUUUUGGAAAGGUUGGC
Molecule: long non-coding RNA, 1860 nt
Filed under: Calidris pugnax (ruff)
Lineage: Eukaryota; Metazoa; Chordata; Aves; Charadriiformes; Scolopacidae
Description: lncRNA (ENSCPUG00000006320.1)
Source: RNAcentral